This 254-nucleotide unclassified non-coding RNA is filed under the name uncultured Gemmatimonadota bacterium. RNAcentral's name for it is "uncultured Gemmatimonadetes bacterium contains 16S-23S intergenic spacer region". It matches the Rfam family "Bacterial small subunit ribosomal RNA", at positions 524 to 776 of the family's 1533-position model. Lineage: Bacteria; Pseudomonadati; Gemmatimonadota. The record is from RNAcentral.
UACGUAGGGGGCGAGCGUUGUCCGGAAUUAUUGGGCGUAAAGCGCACGUAGGCGGCUUGGUAAGUCUCACUGUGAAAGCCCGGGGCUCAACCCCGGGAUGCCAGGGGAUACUGCGGAGCUGGAGACAGGCAGAGGCUGGUGGAAUUCCGGGUGUAGCGGUGGAAUGCGUAGAGAUCCGGAGGAACAUCUGAGGCGAAGGCGGCCAGCUGGGCCUGAUCUGACGCUGAGGUGCGAGAGCGUGGGGAGCGAACAGG